ACAGCACAGACCUUCAAGUCUACCUUGACAGUGGAACGAUGAGCGGACGCUUCUGUAGCUUUUCUCUGGAAGAGUUUGCUUGUGCCUCGGUAAGAGCAAAAUAUUAUAAACUCCUGUUGUAAAGGGGGUUCAUGUAAUGAUUUCACUUUUCAUGUUGAACAGCUCUCAGCCUUAACAGCACAGGACCUGGUAGAGAUUAUGAAGUGUGAUCGGUCAUCAAACUCAAGUGGAUCCAUAUCAGCCUGGAACCUUCUCUUCUGUAAAACAUCCAAGAUCCUGAAUGCAGCUCUGGAUUUUCUGACCACUACAGUAUGACUUACUUUUAGUUCAAUAUUCUGCAUCCAUUGAAGUACUUUGUUAAUAAAUUGGCAUUUAACUUUUAAGGAAAAUUAACGAUUACACGUAAUAUUUAAAAAAAGAAUAAAAUUAAAUCAACUUUUGAUUUCCAUGAUUUCUUCCAAAGCUUACAAACCAUGUUCCUUUUUGUUGCAGACAAUCAACCCCAACAAUCCUUCAGUGUCAGUGAUUUUGGACAGCAUACAAGCAACCAGUCCAGAUUUUUUAAGCACCAACACGCUAAAUAAUCCCACUGAACUGCAGCUGUGGUUUAAUGUUCGCCUUCGCCCGUUCUUACCUGCUGUUUCCGCCAACUUUCUCUCAAUUCUUGCAACAAAGGAUUUGCAGUGCAGCUCCUACCAGUACAUGUAAGCAAUGCAGAAAAUAUUAAGGAUACCUAUAAAUCCAAUUUUUUUUAUGUCACAGAUUAUAUGUUUUGUAAUAAUGGUAUGCUCAUUCAUGUCUUUUAAAAUUAGCUUGCAAAUAUUGAGUGAAGUUCAAUCCCAGAUGACUCCUUCAAGGCAAGAAUCUGUGUACACACAAUUCAUCAAGAUUUACUUGAGCAGAAAUAAUACUGCAGAUCCCGGCUGCACUUCAAACAUCAAAAGCAGCACAGAGUGGCUCCAGAAAAAUGUUGGAGGAUUCUCUGUUCUCUUGUCUAUUCAAAACAUUCAAGAGCUCUACCCACAAUUCUCAGGGGUUUGUUCUAUUGCUCAUUUAAUCGUUCACUUUGUUUAUCCGUAUCUUUUCAUGUUUUGCUAUGGUUUUUCUGUGCAGGUGGAAGCCCUGUCUCUGCUGUCAGUCACACAGCUUGCAGAGGUAGCUGCUGCACCUGGCCAGCUCACAACUGCAGAGCAGGUCACCACGGUGAUGACUUAUGUCCCUGACCAACAGUUUGCAUCCUUCUUUGAUAACUUCUCACCAAAAAUUUUGGUAAGCAAACAUUUGCUGCUGCUUAAGUGUUUUAAACCUCUGCAUAUGACGUAUACAAGCCUUGUACAAUAUUUGUUGAUAUUCUCCUACAGGGUCGUGAAAACGUUCUCCCCUCCACUGUGAGAUCAGCCAUGUUGCAGGUUGUGUUUAAUCGUGCAAACCUCUCCAGUCCAUCAGUCAGUGACUCAGUUGUGUUACUGUGGCUCAAAGUUCGACUCCGCCCCCUGCUGGUAAAUUUGGUACCUGACCAUGUGACGCCAUACUUUAAUAUACUGGCAGGAAGAAGCUGCAGCACUGAGAAGCAGGGGUGAGUGUCAAGUAAAUAACAUUUUUUAAUUGAGUUUAUUUCAGUUCAAUCAAACUUUAAUCUAAAAUGUAUUGUUUUUCAGUGUAACCUUUCUCAACUCAACCAUCUCAACUUUGAGUGAUGCUACAAAGACAAAAAUCCAAGAUCAAAUUGCCUUGACCCUCAAAGGUGAACAGAAAUCUGCACAGUUUUUUUUUAUUUUAUUUAUUUUUUUAUUGAGAGCACUUAGCUUGUGAUUCUUUUUGCUACUUUUCUGUUCCUUUGGAUUAUUUUUCUACAACCU
RNAcentral lists this long non-coding RNA (1859 nucleotides) under Oryzias javanicus (javanese ricefish). Its description in RNAcentral is "lncRNA (ENSOJAG00000010949.1)". Lineage: Eukaryota; Metazoa; Chordata; Actinopteri; Beloniformes; Adrianichthyidae. The record is from RNAcentral.